AAAUAGGAUGCGAGUAAGUAAUAAUAUUUCAUUCACAUAAUAAAUUAUUAUUAUAAGUAAGGAUCUGGAUCAUCAAUGGCUUCUGUUACUACUACAAGGAAGAAGAGCAGUUUAAUUGUACUUGUAAUAAUGGUGAUAGUGGUGCUUCUCUCUUUUAUUGCUAUGGCGGCCAGAGAAUUCCCUUCUUCUUCUUCUGAUCAUGCAGCUGGUGAAUUCGAAGUGGAGGGACGAGAACUGAGAAUGGAUAACCCAUGGGGUCAUGGUUAUAUUCAUGAUUGAUUAAUUAUUGAUGUUGUUUUUUAUCACUUAAUUAUGCGUCUAUGUGUUAUGUAUAAUGUAUAAUAAGAUAAAAGUUAAUUGAAUCAAUAAAUAAAAACGGGUUUUUGUUAUGAA
This is a long non-coding RNA of Impatiens glandulifera, 393 nucleotides long. RefSeq lists it as uncharacterized. The transcript is spliced from 2 exons. The record is from RefSeq and is a predicted model, not a curated record. Lineage: Eukaryota; Viridiplantae; Streptophyta; Magnoliopsida; Ericales; Balsaminaceae.